Long non-coding RNA from Oreochromis niloticus (Nile tilapia), 195 nucleotides. RefSeq lists it as uncharacterized. The record is from RefSeq and is a predicted model, not a curated record. The transcript is spliced from 2 exons. Lineage: Eukaryota; Metazoa; Chordata; Actinopteri; Cichliformes; Cichlidae.
UCUGUUGGUGUGCUCCAGACAUUUUCAUUCCGGUCCUGCACUCUCAAAGACUGAAUGAACCAGCAUUGCAGCCAUGGGUCAUUGUGAGCAUCACAGGGAAGGUUGAAGCCGCCCACUGCACCUGUAUGGCCGGAAUCGUGGAGACCUGCAGCCACGUCACUGCUCUUCUUUUUAAAGUAGAAGCAACAGUGCGGA